Molecule: ribosomal RNA, 454 nt
Filed under: Maoridrilus n. sp. 12 TRB-2010
Lineage: Eukaryota; Metazoa; Annelida; Clitellata; Crassiclitellata; Acanthodrilidae
Description: partial 16S ribosomal RNA
Rfam family: Bacterial large subunit ribosomal RNA
Source: RNAcentral
CUGCCCAGUGACAAAGUUUAACGGCCGCGGAACCCUAACCGUGCAAAGGUAGCAUAAUCACUUGCCUAUUAAUUGUAGGCUAGAAUGAACGGAUGAACGAAAUAAAGACUGUCUCAAUCAGAUUACUAAAAAUUAACACAUGCAUGAAGAGUUGCAAAUAAAGUCGAAGGACAAGAAGACCCUAUAGAGCUUUAUUUUAAUUGUGGGCAUGACCAUAUAAAAAUUCGGUUGGGGCGACCAAGGACAUAAGUAAUAUCAACCUAAAUAAAAAUGAUAAAUAAAUCUAUAAAUUGACCCUUAUUAAGAACAUGAAAAUAAGCUACCUUAGGGAUAACAGGCUAAUCCUAUUUAAGAGUUCAUAUCUACAAUAGGGUUUGGCACCUCGAUGUUGGCUUAGGGUAUCAGUAUGGCGCAAAAGUUGUAUGAAGAUGGUUUGUUCAACCAGUAACUCCCU